GACGAACGCUGGCGGCGUGCUUAACACAUGCAAGUCGAACGGUAAGGCCCUUCGGGGUACACGAGUGGCGAACGGGUGAGUAACACGUGGGUGAUCUGCCCUGCACUUCGGGAUAAGCCUGGGAAACUGGGUCUAAUACCGGAUAGGACCACUGCCUGCAUGGGUGGUGGUGGAAAGCUUUUGCGGGGUGGGAUGGGCCCGCGGCCUAUCAGCUUGUUGGUGGGGUGAUGGCCUACCAAGGCGACGACGGGUAGCCGGCCUGAGAGGGUGGACGGCCACACUGGGACAGAGAUACCGCGCAGACGCCUACGGGAGGAAGCAGUGGGGAAUAUUGCACAAUGGGCGCAAGCCUGAUGCAGCGACGCCGCGUGAGGGAUGACGGCCUUCAGGUUGUAAACCUCUUUCAGCUAUGACGAAGCGAAAGUGACGGUAGUAGCAGAGGAAGGACCGGCCAACUACGUGCCAGCCGCCGCCGUAA
RNAcentral lists this ribosomal RNA (478 nucleotides) under uncultured bacterium. RNAcentral describes it as "partial 16S ribosomal RNA". It matches the Rfam family "Bacterial small subunit ribosomal RNA", at positions 28 to 523 of the family's 1533-position model. The record is from RNAcentral.